AAGUAAGGAACAUCGACUAAGACCUGCCACAUCGUGUGGCAAACAUCGACGCCAGCCCAUCCUGGGCA
Molecule: small RNA, 68 nt
Filed under: Bacillus sp. CECT 9360
Lineage: Bacteria; Bacillati; Bacillota; Bacilli; Caryophanales; Bacillaceae
Description: Bacillaceae-1
Rfam family: Bacillaceae-1 RNA
Source: RNAcentral